RNAcentral lists this ribosomal RNA (450 nucleotides) under uncultured Alphaproteobacteria bacterium. RNAcentral describes it as "bacterial SSU rRNA". It matches the Rfam family "Bacterial small subunit ribosomal RNA", at positions 45 to 539 of the family's 1533-position model. Lineage: Bacteria; Pseudomonadati; Pseudomonadota; Alphaproteobacteria. The record is from RNAcentral.
GGCCUAACACAUGCAAGUCGAACGCUCGUAGCAAUACGGGAGUGGCAGACGGGUGAGUAACGCGUGGGAACAUGCCCUUUGGUUCGGAACAACUCCGGGAAACUGGAGCUAAAACCGGAUAAGCCCUACGGGGGAAAGAUUUAUCGCCGAAGGAUUGGCCCGCGUCUGAUUAGCUAGUUGGUGGGGUAAAGGCCUACCAAGGCGACGAUCCAUAGCUGGUCUGAGAGGAUGAUCAGCCACAUUGGGACUGAGACACGGCCCAAACUCCUACGGGAGGCAGCAGUGGGGAAUAUUGGACAAUGGGCGCAAGCCUGAUCCAGCCAUGCCGCGUGAGUGAUGAAGGCCUUAGGGUUGUAAAGCUCUUUCACCGGAGAAGAUAAUGACGGUAUCCGGAGAAGAAGCCCCGGCUAACUUCGUGCCAGCAGCCGCGGUAAUACGAAGGGGGCUAGC